AGCGAACGCUGGCGGCAGGCCUAACACAUGCAAGUCGAACGAACCUUUCGGGUUGAGUGGCGGACGGGUGAGUAACACGUGGGAACGUGCCUUUAGGCUCGGAAUAACUCAGGGAAACUUGUGCUAAUACCGAAUGUGCCCUUCGGGGGACUGAUUUAUCGCCUUUAGAGCGGCCCGCGCCUGAUUAGCUGGUGGGGUGAGGUAAUGGCCCACCAAGGCGACGAUCAGUAGCUGGCCUGAGAGGAUGUUCAGCCACAUUGGGACUGAGACACGGCCCAAACUCCUACGGGAGGGAGCAGUGGGGAAUCUUGCGCAAUGGGCGAAAGCCUGACGCAGCCAUGCCGCGGGAAUGAUGAAGGUCUUAGGAUUGUAAAAUUCUUUCACCGGGGACGAUAAUGACGGUACCCGGAGAAGAAGCCCCGGCUAACUUCGUG
Molecule: ribosomal RNA, 434 nt
Filed under: uncultured bacterium
Lineage: Bacteria
Description: partial 16S ribosomal RNA
Rfam family: Bacterial small subunit ribosomal RNA
Source: RNAcentral